This 279-nucleotide ribosomal RNA is filed under the name uncultured bacterium. RNAcentral's name for it is "partial 16S ribosomal RNA". It matches the Rfam family "Bacterial small subunit ribosomal RNA", at positions 506 to 784 of the family's 1533-position model. The record is from RNAcentral.
UGCCAGCAGCCGCGGUAAUACGAACUGUGCGAACGUUAUUCGGAAUCACUGGGCUUAAAGGGUGCGUAGGCGGCUACAAAGGUCAGAUGUGAAAUCCCACGGCUCAACCGUGGAACUGCGUCUGAAACCAUGUAGCUUGAGGAAGUCAGAGGUAAGCGGAACUGAUGGUGGAGCGGUGAAAUGCGUUGAUAUCAUCAGGAACACCGGUGGCGAAAGCGGCUUACUGGGACUUUUCUGACGCUGAGGCACGAAAGCUAGGGGAGCGAACGGGAUUAGAUA